GAGAAGAACGCAGCGAAAUGCGAUACGUAAUGUGAAUUGCAGAAUUCAGUGAAUCAUCGAAUCUUUGAACGCAUAUUGCGCUCUUUGGUAUUCCGAAGAGCAUGCUUGUUUGAGUAUCAGUAAACACCUCAAAGACUUCAAUUUGUUUUGAAUGGCUUUGGACUUGAGCAAUCCCAACACCAGUCUUUACGAUCGGUGGAGGGUUGCUUGAAAUGCAGGUGCAGCUGGACAUUCUCCUGAGCUAAAAGCAUAUUUAUUUAGUCCCGUCAAACGGAUUAUUACUUUUGCUGCAGCUAACAUAAAGGGAGUUUGACCGUAUUGGCUGACUGAUGCAGGAUUUCACAAGGGUCGGCAACGAUUCUUGUAAAACUCGAUCUCAAAUCAAGUAAGACUACCCGCUGAACUUAAGCAUAUCAAUAAGCGGAGGA
RNAcentral lists this unclassified non-coding RNA (428 nucleotides) under soil metagenome. Its description in RNAcentral is "partial contains 5.8S ribosomal RNA, internal transcribed spacer 2, and large subunit ribosomal RNA". The stretch from base 3 to 119 matches the Rfam family "5.8S ribosomal RNA", at positions 38 to 154 of the family's 154-position model. The record is from RNAcentral.